GACGAACCGUGCGAACGUUGUUCGGAAUAACUGGGCUUAAAGGGCGCGUAGGCGGGUUCCUCAGUCCGGAGUGAAAGCCCACGGCUCAACCGUGGAAGUGCUUUGGAUACUGGGAACCUCGAGGGGGGUAGGGGCGCGCGGAACGUUCCGGUGGAGCGGUGAAAUGCGUAGAUAUCGGAAGGAACACCGGUGGCGAAAGCGGCGCGCUGGACCCCCACUGACGCUGAUGCGCGAAAGCCAGGGGAGCAAACGGG
This 254-nucleotide ribosomal RNA is filed under the name uncultured bacterium. RNAcentral's name for it is "partial 16S ribosomal RNA". It matches the Rfam family "Bacterial small subunit ribosomal RNA", at positions 524 to 776 of the family's 1533-position model. The record is from RNAcentral.